GAGUUUGAUCCUGGCUCAGGACUAACGCUGGCGGCGUGCCUAACACAUGCAAGUCGAACGGACACCACUUUGUAGCAAUACAGAUGAAGUGUUAGUGGCAGACGGGUGAGUAACACGUAGUCAACCUGCCUUACCGUCCGGGAUAACUAGCCGAAAGGUUAGCUAAUACCUGAUACGAUCGUCGGGCGGCAUCGCUUGACGAUGAAAGCAGCAAUGCGCGGUUAGAGGGGGCUGCGGCCCAUUAGCUAGUUGGUGAGGUAAUGGCCCACCAAGGCAACGAUGGGUAGCUGGUCUGAGAGGACGACCAGCCACACUGGGACUGAGACACGGCCCAGACUCCUACGGGAGGCAGCAGUGAGGAAUUUUCCGCAAUGGGCGAAAGCCUGACGGAGCGACGCCGCGUGCACGAGGAAGGCCUUCGGGUCGUAAGUAGCUGUCGAGGGGGACGA
RNAcentral lists this ribosomal RNA (449 nucleotides) under uncultured bacterium. RNAcentral describes it as "bacterial SSU rRNA". It matches the Rfam family "Bacterial small subunit ribosomal RNA", at positions 9 to 448 of the family's 1533-position model. The record is from RNAcentral.